AGAUGGCGACCGGCGCACGGGUGAGUAACACGUAUCCAACCUGCCGAUAACUCGGGGAUAGCCUUUCGAAAGAAAGAUUAAUACCCGAUGGCAUAAUUAGACCGCAUGGUCUUAUUAUUAAAGAAUUUCGGUUAUCGAUGGGGAUGCGUUCCAUAGGCAGUUGGUGAGGUAACGGCUCACCAAACCUUCGAUGGAUAGGGGUUCUGAGAGGAAGGUCCCCCACAUUGGAACUGAGACACGGUCCAA
This 246-nucleotide ribosomal RNA is filed under the name uncultured bacterium. Its description in RNAcentral is "partial 16S ribosomal RNA". It matches the Rfam family "Bacterial small subunit ribosomal RNA", at positions 86 to 334 of the family's 1533-position model. The record is from RNAcentral.